GAUGAAGAACGUAGCGAAAUGCGAUAAGUAAUGUGAAUUGCAGAAUUCAGUGAAUCAUCGAAUCUUUGAACGCACAUUGCGCCCGUCAGUAUUCUGGCGGGCAUGCCUGUUCGAGCGUCAUUACGCCCCUCAAGUCCCCUGUGGACUUGGUGUUGGGGAUCGGCGAGGCUGGUUUUCCAGCACAGCCGUCCCUUAAAUUAAUUGGCGGUCUCGCCGUGGCCCUCCUCUGCGCAGUAGUAAAACACUCGCAACAGGAGCCCGGCGCGGUCCACUGCCGUACAACCCCCCACCUUUUUAUAGUUGACCUCGAAUCAGGUAGGACUACCCGCUGAACUUAAGCAUAUCAAUAAGCGGAGGA
Molecule: unclassified non-coding RNA, 358 nt
Filed under: soil metagenome
Description: partial contains 5.8S ribosomal RNA, internal transcribed spacer 2, and large subunit ribosomal RNA
Rfam family: 5.8S ribosomal RNA (bases 1-120)
Source: RNAcentral